GUUCCGGGAACGAACGUUCCUGCUCAUUCGCAUACUCCAUCUGCUCGCAAGUCUUGAGAGGGACUGGCAGAGAGUGGCCUUUAGGUGCCUGACAUCUGUUACCAGAUCUCUGGAUCCAUUGUCCUGAUGGAACAAUGAGAUCAAAGAGAGGAAGAGGCAGAGAAUCAACGUGAAUCAAAAUGUCUAACAUUGGGAUUUACACCACAGACCCUAGGACUUCUAUGCUUAAAUGUCUACACCCAAAGCAUAGUCCUAAACAUGGCCAGAAUGGAGACAGAUUCUGUGACCCCUGGGCCUUGGAAAUCAUCAAGAGUCUGGAUUUGGGUUUGGAGUGCUCAGUUGUUAGCAUAACCCCCAGGAUUAUGCCUAAACAAGACAUGUUAAUCACAGUAUUUAGAAUGUGGAAGCAAAAGGAUUAGAAAUUCAGGGUUAUC
This 434-nucleotide long non-coding RNA is filed under the name Mus musculus (house mouse). RNAcentral's name for it is "predicted gene, 39271". The record is from RNAcentral. Lineage: Eukaryota; Metazoa; Chordata; Mammalia; Rodentia; Muridae.